Molecule: transfer RNA, 69 nt
Filed under: Capra hircus (goat)
Lineage: Eukaryota; Metazoa; Chordata; Mammalia; Artiodactyla; Bovidae
Also listed under: 2 other names
Rfam family: tRNA
About the family: Transfer RNA (tRNA) molecules are approximately 80 nucleotides in length.
Source: Rfam by way of RNAcentral
CCUGGUGGCUCAGAUGGUAAAGUGUCUGCCUACAAUGCAGGAGACCCAGGUUCAAUCCCUGGGUCAGGA